UAAAAUGGGAUUCAUCGCAUCUUCAUGAUG
RNAcentral lists this non-coding RNA (30 nucleotides) under Mus musculus (house mouse). Lineage: Eukaryota; Metazoa; Chordata; Mammalia; Rodentia; Muridae. The record is from RNAcentral.